RNAcentral lists this unclassified non-coding RNA (225 nucleotides) under Hevea brasiliensis (rubber tree). Lineage: Eukaryota; Viridiplantae; Streptophyta; Magnoliopsida; Malpighiales; Euphorbiaceae. The record is from RNAcentral.
CAAGAUAGAUAGGGCUUCCAAGGAUGAAAAAUCAGCUGAGCAGUCUACUGCCCCAGAACAACAUGAUACCCCUGAUGAUGGUGAAGGUGAGAGAAUAGUAACUACAAGAACAUCAGUUAUUGUUAGACAAGCUGAGAGAGAUGCAAUACGUGCAGCUCUGCAGGCUACAAUAAAGCCUAUAAAACGAAAAAAGGAAGGUGAAGAGAAGAGGAUGACACAAGAAGA